RNAcentral lists this ribosomal RNA (1244 nucleotides) under metagenome. RNAcentral's name for it is "bacterial LSU rRNA". It matches the Rfam family "Bacterial large subunit ribosomal RNA", at positions 1641 to 2877 of the family's 2925-position model. The record is from RNAcentral.
ACCGUACCGCAAACCGACACUGGUGCGCGAGAUGAGUAUUCUAAGGCGCUUGAGAGAACUCAGGAGAAGGAACUCGGCAAAUUGACACCGUAACUUCGGAAGAAGGUGUGCCCUAUUAGUGUGUAGUGAACAACGAAGCAUGAAUGGGUUGCAAAAAAUCGGUGGCUGCGACUGUUUAUUAAAAACACAGCACUCUGCAAACACGAAAGUGGACGUAUAGGGUGUGACGCCUGCCCGGUGCUGGAAGAUUAAAUGAUGGGGUGCAAGCUCUUGAUUGAAGUCCCAGUAAACGGCGGCCGUAACAAUAACGGUCCUAAGGUAGCGAAAUUCCUUGUCGGGUAAGUUCCGACCUGCACGAAUGGCGUAACGAUGGCCACACUGUCUCCUCCUGAGACUCAGCGAAGUUGAAAUGUUUGUGAUGAUGCAAUCUCCCCGCGGAAAGACGGAAAGACCCCAUGAACCUUUACUGUAGCUUUGUAUUGGACUUUGAACAGAUCUGUGUAGGAUAGGUGGGAGGCUUUGAAGCAGGGUCGCUAGAUCUUGUGGAGCCAACGUUGAAAUACCACCCUGGUGUGUUUGAGGUUCUAACCUAGGUCCAUUAUCUGGAUCGGGGACAGUGCAUGGUAGGCAGUUUGACUGGGGCGGUCUCCUCCCAAAGCGUAACGGAGGAGUUCGAAGGUACGCUAGUUACGGUCGGACAUCGUGACGAUAGUGCAAUGGCAUAAGCGUGCUUAACUGCGAGACUGACAAGUCGAGCAGAUGCGAAAGCAGGACAUAGUGAUCCGGUGGUUCUGUAUGGAAGGGCCAUCGCUCAACGGAUAAAAGGUACUCUGGGGAUAACAGGCUGAUACCGCCCAAGAGUUCAUAUCGACGGCGGUGUUUGGCACCUCGAUGUCGGCUCAUCUCAUCCUGGGGCUGUAGCCGGUCCCAAGGGUAUGGCUGUUCGCCAUUUAAAGAGGUACGUGAGCUGGGUUUAAAACGUCGUGAGACAGUUUGGUCCCUAUCUUCCGUGGGCGCUGCAGAUUUGAGGAAGCCUGCUCCUAGUACGAGAGGACCGGAGUGGACACACCUCUGGUGUAUCGGUUGUCACGCCAGUGGCAUUGCCGAGUAGCUAAGUGUGGAAGAGAUAACCGCUGAAAGCAUCUAAGCGGGAAACUCGUUUCAAGAUGAGAUCUGCCGGGGCCUUGAGCCCCCUAAAGAGUCGUUCAAGACCAGGACGUUGAUAGGUCAGGUGUGGAAGCCAG